UACGUAGGGGGCUAGCGUUGUUCGGAAUUACUGGGCGUAAAGCGCACGUAGGCGGCUUUGUAAGUUAGAGGUGAAAGCCCAGGGCUUAACCCUGGAAUUGCCUUUAAGACUGCAUCGCUAGAAUCGUGGAGAGGUGAGUGGAAUUCCGAGUGUAGAGGUGAAAUUCGUAGAUAUUCGGAAGAACACCAGUGGCGAAGGCGACUCACUGGACACGUAUUGACGCUGAGGUGCGAAAGCGUGGGGAGCAAACAGG
This 253-nucleotide ribosomal RNA is filed under the name uncultured bacterium. Its description in RNAcentral is "partial 16S ribosomal RNA". It matches the Rfam family "Bacterial small subunit ribosomal RNA", at positions 524 to 776 of the family's 1533-position model. The record is from RNAcentral.